Nomia melanderi (Alkali bee) is the source of this 5431-nucleotide RNA transcript. It is a transcript of the gene named LEM domain-containing inner nuclear membrane protein MAN1, with no coding region annotated. Lineage: Eukaryota; Metazoa; Arthropoda; Insecta; Hymenoptera; Halictidae. The record is from RefSeq and is a predicted model, not a curated record.
UUAGCGCAUGAGCAUUGACAUUGCCCAAGCACAUUCCAAAAUGCUGUUCCAAAAAUCACAAAUCAAUGAUGUGUAACUCGUUGUAAAUUUCGCUUUAUUUAACGGCUUUGAUAUUUCUUUUCUCAAAACCAUAAAUGUAACGUCCGUUUAUUUAAGGAACAUGUAUAUCAUUAAGAAAUAUAUGUUCAAAGAAAUAUAUUUUUGAAACGAAAAGUUGGAGAAAAAAAUUGGAAGCAGGGUGAUUCGUACUCCAUGGACCGGUUGGAUUAUCUCGGUUAACCCUGUUCCAUGACUAUGGAUGACAGGGUUGAGUGGCGUGAAAUGGUAUGGAUGAGUAUGCGCGCGACCGCGACCGUUAGAAAAUUGCGCCAUUUUUUUUAGUUCUAACCAAGAUUAUUUUUCAAAGCGUUGAAGUGUUACGCGAACUGUUUAUAACGUCGUGAAAGGUGGCACGCGUGGACACCGAUGGUGUUGUGAAUUUUACGUUCAGCAAGAACGCUUGGCAAAAUUUUGAUCACGCUUCAGGAGAGUGCUUAGCGGGGAGGAUAGUCCACGAGGGAACGUUUUUACCGGGUUCUUUCCAGAGAAGAAUUUUUUUUCUUCUGUAAACAAAAUGUCGGUGGACACACUGAGUGAUUCAGAGUUACGCAGUAAACUGAUGGAAUAUGGGUUUCCGGUGGGCCCUGUAACACAAACCACUAGAAAAAUUCUUGUGAAAAAAUUAAAAAGUCUUAUUGAAGCGCGCGGAGGUUCAGGUUCGCGGCAUUCAUUAGCUGCCAGAUAUAGCAGUGAGGAUACAGAUGAUGACUCAAGUUCAACAGCCGCAAAAAAGAAAAAAGCAACUGUUAAUGCCAGACGACAAACUUUGGCAAAUCCAAUGCCUCCACCAUCAGCAAUACCAUCUCCAGAUACAAACAUAUCAAAAAGUUCAGUCAAAGAAAAAGCAAUACAUCCAGAAUUUAAGGAUCCCAUAGCACCUGAUUGCGAUAAUUCAUCUAUCUUCACUACACAUGUAGUAUCAAAAACUACACAAAAAAAAUAUGUAAAGACUAAAAAGACAUCGGGUAUUACAGAUGGUUUAGAAACAGGUUCAGAUUCAGAUGUUGUAGAAGAAGUAAGCAGGAGAUAUUCUCCAUUUGAAUAUUUACCCAAUUUCUGUAAAUCCCCUGACUCUAGAACAUACGAACACAGCACAUUUGAUCAAGAACCAGCUACAAAAUCAUAUGAUUCAAAAGCAAGAUCUGUACAUACUAUAAAAGAUAAUACAUAUAAUGAAUCAGUUUUUGUUCCAAGUAUAUCUCCGAUGCAAUCUUCAAAGGAAGAUGUUUGCACAAGGGACAGCUCAAAUCAAAGAGAUCUUUUGGCAAAUUAUGAAACUCCAUAUUUAUCUGAAUUUACCAGAAGACUCAGUUCACGCUCAUCUAUAUAUCUACCAUCCUCUACUUUGUCCAGUUCAAAAAAUCCAACUUCGCGCCAUACAUCUAAUGUACCAGAGUUGAAAGAAAAAGAUUCGAAUGGUCAUUUUUCUUCUUCAAGAUCACUGUAUUCGACUACAAGUCCAAGGCAUACAACAACAUCUAUUGAUAGACCUCGAGAAACAAUGGGUAGAACAUUUAAGCCAUCGAUCAUAGGCAGGGAAGACAUACGCAACAAUCAGAACAUGGUGUCUGUAAUCUUGGUUGUGGUACUUGGUUUAUUUUUUGGAAUACUUGCAGUUAUAUACAUGGGACUCGGUGGAAAAUCAGAAACUUUUCCCUCGCUUGCAACGGACAGCAACAUACCACUAUGCUUUGUUGGAGCUGACCUUGAAGCGCCUGGAGUUAAUUGUGUAAUGAAAGAAAAUGUAGAUUCUGUACUGCAACUAUUAAAGCGACUUCAACCAAUUUUAACAAAAAAGGCUGUAUCCAUGAUAUGCGACAAUUCCAGUGAAACUCCUUACCUGACCGAUUCAGAAAUCAUGCAAAUGUUUACAAGUAAUAAAGUGAAAAGUUUGGAGGUGAAAGAGGAUUUACAGAAUGCACAAUUGCUUGUUAUAAAGAACCCUAAGUGGGGUAUUUCUUUAAUAGACAUAAGUGAUGAUAACGGAGUUCCCGGUGAAGUUUUGGAUUCCUUGGAGAAAUUAUUUUCUACCCGUUUAAACGGGAAAGUUGGAAUGGUGAUCACAAAUCCGGAAUUACCAAUGCAGUGUCUUAUUAAAAACAAGCUGUUCACCAUAUUCUCCUCUCUUCUAAUUGUAUCACUUGGCCUCCUAGCAGCUAUAGGACUGCAGAAAUUAUUCGUUUGGUAUAUCAAGUACAAGAAGAGUACUGAAAGGGAAGUGUUCAAACUUGUUAGUGAAAUUAUUAACAUGGUUGAAAUGCAUCAUCAAAAUGCUGGAGUAGCAUCGCCUGGUGGUACACAAGAAAGCUUUCUUGCUAUCAGUCAUGUACGUGAUAAUCUUAUACCUCCUAAAGACCGUAAAAGGAUGGCAAGCUUAUGGGAGAAGGCAGUUAAAUUUUUGGAUGAGAAUGAAUCCAGAAUCCGAAGGGAAGUGCAACAAGUUGCGGGGGAAGAGUUUCAUGUAUGGCGCUGGUUGCCUAAUAACAAUCUUAACAAAUCGAAUACACAAAAUUUCGUUCCAAAUAAAAAAUCUAAAGUGUGGCAAGGUCAAGCGUUUGAAACAAUGGAAGGAUCAGUUAAUAGUUUAACAUGUUCACCAACACCGUGUUUGAAAAUAAGACACAUGUUUGAUGUAGAUGUAGAAUUCGAGGAUGAUUGGGAAACAAAAGUACAGGAUGCUGUUUUAGAGAAAUGCGGAGAAGGUGUAAAAAUACUCCAUAUUCGUGUAGAUCGUGGGAGUCGAGAAGGUUGUGUUUACAUGAAAUGUAUGUCACAAGAAGAUGCGGGGAAAGCUUACAGGGCUUUACAUGGAUGUUGGUUCGAUGGUCAUUUAGUAACUGUAAAGUACCUGAGAUUGGAAAGAUACUAUGAAAGAUUUCCAGAUGCACGUCAUUGUACAAUACCUUUGAAGCCAAGUAACAAUCAGCGAUUAUCUAUGCAGGCGGAUUAUUAGAGCCGCCAAUUUUGGAUGUAAACUUACAAAAUACCUCUUUGCUUGUGCAUACAUGUUAACAAGCAAAAUUUGAAUCUUUCGCCGCUGGAAUAAUUGUUUGCGGACCAGAAUUCGCGAGAUACUUCUAUUUUUUGCUCUAGAAGAGAAUAGAACUUCAUACUUAUGGCGCAGAAAUACAGAAUCCUAGAGACUUGUAAUUGUGUGAUAAUGUUCUAAGAAUUUGAAGAGAUAAUAGGACAUGUAUACCUACAUUAUUUUAUAAUCAAGAAAAGACUUAAUUUAUUUUGUUUGAAAGACUACAUUUUUCUUUUAAUUAGUAAUCGUUACAUUAAUACUUCAUAAACUGCACAAAUUGUAUUAGUAGGAAACAAAUAAAUUAAUACAAGGUGUUUUAAGAUAAAUAGUAUAACCAGAUACGAGAUUAUUCUAUAGAUACAAGUAACUGAAAAACGAAAUUUCAAAAAAAAUUAAUUUGAAAAUUUAUCAGGUACAUACACAUGAGUAUCAUUGAGUUUGUGUGCUUUUCCAUUACUGAUAAUUUUUGUUUCUGUAGUAUCAUCUGUAAAUAUUAACAGCAAUAUAAUUAGUACUUGUUUUUAAAUAAUAAAAUAGAUAAUGUCAUACUGUCAGUGUUUUAAGAAUAUAAAUAAUGAGUAAUGGUCAGACACAUUAACCCUCUAUCUCGAUUAAAAGAGUAAUUGUAGGAUAAAUUCGAAUUAUCAGUCUUUGCCCUAUUUUCCCAAUUUAAUGGUACGUAAAAAUUCUGAAAAAAUUCUGAGAUAUUCUGCCACAACAAUGUAUGACAGAGAAUUUUUGAGAAUUUUUUCGUUCCAAAUCCUUAGCGUGAAAAAUGAAAAUCUCAAGAAGAUAGAAAAAUCUAGAUUUCGAUUGAAGCUUUUGAGUUACAACUUUUUCAUUUUUGCAAUAGUAACAUAGUAUGAUAGUCAUUUACAAUUUUUUCGCCUACUAUGCCAUUGUUAAAAAGGUAGAGAACUAAUAUUUGACAUAUCUCAGGCAAAAACAUAAUUAAUAUCUUUAAUUGUAGUUUGCUUUGUGUAGUGCCUACAUUACGUGACUUUUAAUGUUUCUGCAUGUACGUGCUGUAGAAUACAACUUUAUUUAUAAUUUUUCUUUUUUCAAUUAUCAAUUACAUGACAAUAAACGAUAUUCACUUCUAAAGGGCUUUACAAUAUUUGUAAGGUAUAAGAAAGAAGUAAAAGGAGAUUAAUAGUAAAAAGUAAAGAAUAUAAAAAAGAGAAGUUAUAUCCUGCGGGGUGCGAACCUACGACAAACAAAAAUUUCCCUCCGUUCCACACUAGCUAACCUAAACGCUUCGCCAACCAUAUUAUUGAAUACAGUGGUGAAACUUUAGUAGAUACGGCAUAUUCAUUUUCAAUUAAUUGCAAUAACAGGAUUUUUUAUAAUUUUUACGUACCAUUAAACAGGGAAAAUAGAACAAAAACUGAUAAUUUAAAUUUACUCUAUAACUACUCUUCUGGUUGAGAUAGAGAGUUGAAAAUUAAUGUAAAAUAUUUUCUAUAGGUAAACUAUCGAACAUAACUUUCAUGAGUAAAAUCAGGAUACUUUUCACAUCUUUAUCCUGCUAUAACCUUCGUAAAAAGUAAAACAUAAAGAAACGUUUUACUUUAUUCUAAAGAUAUACUUAACUAUCAUACUGAAACACACUGUAUAUGUCAAUUUAAUAUUGACGGCAUCUAAAAACAAACAAAAUUAUUAUUUGUUUCAAAUGAAGCUUACAUAAAAUCAAGAAAAUUGGACCUUGCAAUUCCAUGAUGCACAACAUUGUUAAAAACAAUAGAAUUGCAAAGAUUUAAUUUUUGAUAGCUAUAUAAUAUUUAUUUAAUGACAUUUCCUUUGAUUCAAUCAAGGAACAAAAUUAAUUUUACAUAAUUUAAUACCUAUACAUAUAUUGUGUAAUUAUAUUACUAUUAUCUUCUAGUUGUAUAUAAUGGUUACAUAAAUGUCAUUUGAAAAUAAUCCAACACAUUUUAACUUUUUAUAUGUUACAGAAAAGGAGAAAGUUUUUAAUAAAUACAAUGUUCUAUAAUAUAUGUACAUCACUCUUUAUAUUCAUAUAUUUACAUGUUAUUUUGAAAUAUGACAAUAUUUGUUAUUGUAAGUAUAGUUUGUUUGUAUCAGAAAGAUCCAUAGAAGCAUAUGUAGAGACAUAUUUUUUUCAUUACAAAUACAAGAGAUGUAUAUGUUUCUUACACAAAAUUUCAUUUCAUCGGUUACUUUGAGAAGCAACUUUCAUUGAAUAUUCUUAUUGAUCAAAAUUUUUAUUCAAGUUCUUCUAAUAAUUUAUGAGCUUUAAGAACCUUUUUUAAUUUCAUAAGUCUAUAAUUCAUAAGUUGCACU